This 253-nucleotide ribosomal RNA is filed under the name uncultured bacterium. Its description in RNAcentral is "partial 16S ribosomal RNA". It matches the Rfam family "Bacterial small subunit ribosomal RNA", at positions 524 to 776 of the family's 1533-position model. The record is from RNAcentral.
UACGUAGGGUGCGAGCGUUAAUCGGAAUUACUGGGCGUAAAGCGUGCGCAGGCGGUUCGGUAUGUCUGAUGUGAAAGCCCCGGGCUCAACCUGGGAAUGGCAUUGGAAACUGGCGAGCUUGAGUGUGGCAGAGGGGGGUGGAAUUCCGCGUGUAGCAGUGAAAUGCGUAGAGAUGCGGAGGAACACCGAUGGCGAAGGCAGCCCCCUGGGCUAACACUGACGCUCAGGCACGAAAGCGUGGGGAGCAAACAGG